CUUGGGAACGGAUUUCGUGCCAAUUGGAAGGUUCCGUGUUAUGCAGGGCUCUGACGAAGCUGGAACAACUCGUGCUUCAACAACGUAGCGACACUAGCACAACCGUGGAACCUUUUUUUUUUUUAUUCGGACGUACUGGAUGAUGCGGGGUUUUCCCACAGACGUGUGCCGGUUCCGGAGUACCCUGCUGCUGAAUUCACGCCCCCUUUCGUUCCCUUCGCCGUAAUCCUCUUUCCUGGGUGAAAGAUAUGGUUUCAGUGUUUGUGUCGAAGUCAAAUUCCACAAAUGGAGUUACGGAUACGUUGUAGGACGCAUGCGACAUCACUGGAAUCUUCUCUGCCUAAGCAAGGAUGGUCCGACAGGCUCCUAGAUUUGUACCAGCUUCGCCAUCCAGUGACUCUACGGAUUCCUGCAGAGUUGGACGUAUCCCGAACUUCCGCCAGAAAUCGUAGCCCAGGAUGCAUCGCCGGUUCAAAUCGGGGGCGACAAGUACGGACAACAACCUGGUGACCCCAUUGAAGGUGACCGGGAUAUCUACGGCCCCUAUGACCUCCAGAUGUUGGCCUCCAGCUGUUGAGAGUUUGAUGUUGGAAUCGAGUUGACGUUUGCGGCUAACAUGGCGAUUCGACAGUCCUCGCGGGUGUUCCGGAACAGCAAAUCGAACCGACGUUUUUCAUCCCACGGAAUGGAAAGACUACGGAAGAUCCGCACCAUGUCCAGGUAGUAGUCUUGGAAUUUCUCCCUGGCUCCCUGUCGACGGUUACAAGCCUGCCGUUCGUAAACGUAGUCCAUAUCGACAGGUCAAUACGCAACAACCGCUCGCACUGGCUACGCGUCAUGCUCGGAUCGAACGGAAUUUUCCGGAUGUUAAGCUCAUGCUCGAGUUCAUCAAUGGUGAGAUGAGCUGGGUUCAACGCGUGGUACUGCGAGAGAAGGUGUGACAUCUCCAUAGUUUUAAUAUCACAGGUGAAUAAAAUUUACUUUGAAUUUACUAAGUAUUCUAAUUACGCUUCACAAAUUUUAAAUCUAAGCUAAAAAGUACAAAAAUAAGCUUCAACAAAAAUUUAUCCAAUCACAAACAAUACAGUACAAUGCGACUAGAAUAAAACGUUUGGGUAGUGGGUUACAAAACUAUAAUAAAUUAAAAUUUUCAAAUUUGAAUAUUAAGUUAAAGAAACGUAAGCACAGACGAAACAGUUUAAAAAAACGACAAUCAAAAUCGAAUAGCAAAAGUUGACUAGUAAUAAGAUGAGGGGAAUAAAAUUGAUUGGGAUUGGGUUCUUGUUUGAAUUCUCUUUUCCACCCCCCACCGAGAAAGAAAAUUUUCCGGAUUUCCGAGAAAAUUUUAUCUUCGACCUAAAAUGUUUUUUAAAACGUUUUCAACUAGUUGGUUACUAUUCGAAAUUUCUUUGGAUGUCCAAGACCCCUCGAAUCGGAAACAAAUCGAAUUCGAACUGGUUGUUUCCCACUAGGUGUAGUGUGUUAAGGCAAAUUUCCAAGAGGUUCUGGGCGUUUUCCCAGAGACCCAAGCAGAAGUGGCUUCAGAGAAAAGUGUCUGCCGAGCGUAUCCAAAUCGCAAAAGCAACUUUUACGUUAUGGGCGCCAAGUAUAACAAAUGGUCGGCUAGCGGGUUCAGCGGUGCUGAAACUCCCUUGUAUGUAUG
Uranotaenia lowii is the source of this 1663-nucleotide long non-coding RNA. RefSeq lists it as uncharacterized. The transcript is spliced from 5 exons. Lineage: Eukaryota; Metazoa; Arthropoda; Insecta; Diptera; Culicidae. The record is from RefSeq and is a predicted model, not a curated record.